ACUUAGUCAUCCCAAGGCGUG
This 21-nucleotide unclassified non-coding RNA is filed under the name Chlamydomonas reinhardtii. RNAcentral's name for it is "small RNA Cre_0397". The record is from RNAcentral. Lineage: Eukaryota; Viridiplantae; Chlorophyta; Chlorophyceae; Chlamydomonadales; Chlamydomonadaceae.